RNAcentral lists this small RNA (53 nucleotides) under uncultured Faecousia sp. Its description in RNAcentral is "Streptococcus sRNA SpF59 (ldcC RNA)". It matches the Rfam family "Streptococcus sRNA SpF59 (ldcC RNA)". The record is from RNAcentral. Lineage: Bacteria; Bacillati; Bacillota; Clostridia; Eubacteriales; Oscillospiraceae.
GACCGCCGGUCUUUGCCGGCUAAGGCCAUACGGACAGCCGGGUCGAAUGCCGA